AUUGAACGCUGGCGGCAUGCCUUACACAUGCAAGUCGAACGGCUGCACGGGAGCAAUCCUGGUGGCGAGUGGCGAACGGGUGAGUAAAGUAUCGGAACGUGCCCAGUCGUGGGGGAUAACGUAGCGAAAGUUACGCUAAUACCGCAUACGAUCUAUGGAUGAAAGCGGGGGAUCGCAAGACCUCGCGCGAUUGGAUCGGCCGAUAUCAGAUUAGGUAGUUGGUGGGGUAAAGGCUCACCAAGCCGACGAUCUGUAGCUGGUCUGAGAGGACGACCAGCCACACUGGGACUGAGACACGGCCCAGACUCCUACGGGAGGCAGCAGUGGGGAAUUUUGGACAAUGGGCGAAAGCCUGAUCCAGCCAUGCCGCGUGCAGGAUGAAGGCCUUCGGGUUGUAAACUGCUUUUGUACGGAACGAAAAGGUUUGGCCUAAUAAGCUGAGCUCAUGACGGUACCGUAAGAAUAAGCACCGGCUAACUACGUGCCAGCCGCCGCAGUAA
This 500-nucleotide ribosomal RNA is filed under the name uncultured bacterium. RNAcentral describes it as "partial 16S ribosomal RNA". It matches the Rfam family "Bacterial small subunit ribosomal RNA", at positions 30 to 523 of the family's 1533-position model. The record is from RNAcentral.